This 245-nucleotide unclassified non-coding RNA is filed under the name Hevea brasiliensis (rubber tree). Lineage: Eukaryota; Viridiplantae; Streptophyta; Magnoliopsida; Malpighiales; Euphorbiaceae. The record is from RNAcentral.
GAUCAUACAGUUUGCAAAAUAAUCUCUAGCAAUUCCUCAAGUAAGCAAAGAAGAGAAAAUCAUCCUUUCCAUGGUGAUGAAUUUGUUGCUUCUAUUUGUAGAAACAAAUUUUGCUCACUUAUAAGAUAAUUGUGAAAUACAUUAAGCUAGGCAGCCAUCAUGACUACAUAGCCAAAAUUUGAAACAGCAACAAAAGGAGAAACUGCCACACCAAGAACAAAACCCAACACUUUCUUGCAUUGCCU